UGGGGAAUAUUGCACAAUGGGCGCAAGCCUGAUGCAGCCAUGCCGCGUGUAUGAAGAAGGCCUUCGGGUUGUAAAGUACUUUCAGCGGGGAGGAAGGGAGUAAAGUUAAUACCUUUGCUCAUUGACGUUACCCGCAGAAGAAGCACCGGCUAACUCCGUGCCAGCAGCCGCGGUAAUACGGAGGGUGCAAGCGUUAAUCGGAAUUACUGGGCGUAAAGCGCACGCAGGCGGUUUGUUAAGUCAGAUGUGAAAUCCCCGGGCUCAACCUGGGAACUGCAUCUGAUACUGGCAAGCUUGAGUCUCGUAGAGGGGGGUUAGAAUUCCAGGUGUAGCGGUGAAAUGCGUAGAGAUCUGGAGGAAUACCGGUGGCGAAGGCGGCCCCCUGGACGAAGACUGACGCUCAGGUGCGAAAGCGUGGGGGAGCAAACAGGAUUAGAUACCC
This 442-nucleotide ribosomal RNA is filed under the name uncultured bacterium. Its description in RNAcentral is "bacterial SSU rRNA". It matches the Rfam family "Bacterial small subunit ribosomal RNA", at positions 355 to 787 of the family's 1533-position model. The record is from RNAcentral.